Molecule: ribosomal RNA, 253 nt
Filed under: uncultured bacterium
Lineage: Bacteria
Description: partial 16S ribosomal RNA
Rfam family: Bacterial small subunit ribosomal RNA
Source: RNAcentral
UACGUAGGGGGCUAGCGUUGUCCGGAUUUAUUGGGCGUAAAGAGCGUGUAGGCGGCCAGAUAGGUCUGCUGUGAAAACUCGAGGCUCAACCUCGAGCUGUCGGCGGAAACCAUUUGGCUAGAGUCCGGAAGAGGAGAGUGGAAUUCCUGGUGUAGCGGUGAAAUGCGUAGAUAUCAGGAGGAACACCGGUGGCGAAGGCGGCCCUCUGGACGGUGACUGACGCUGAGACGCGAAAGCGUGGGGAGCAAACAGG